Molecule: long non-coding RNA, 2270 nt
Organism: Passer domesticus (house sparrow)
Lineage: Eukaryota; Metazoa; Chordata; Aves; Passeriformes; Passeridae
Exons: 3
Source: RefSeq, a predicted model, not a curated record
UAAUUGGAUAAAAAAGUUCCCAUUGCAGGCCACGGGUGGUUGGUUAUUGGGUAAAAAGUGAAAAGAAUUUAGGUGUCAUUUCUUAAUUGGAGAGUUUAUCCUUAAAAGAAGCAAAGACUCAGCAGUUCUGGAUGAUGCCUGUGGGCUUUACCCAAUGUCCCUGUGGUUAACCAUUCAGUCUUGGAGGGUUUGGGGUGAGGAAUUCUUGUUCUGUGGGAAUCACAGAAUCAUUGAAGCUGGAAAAGCCCUCUAAGCCCACAAAGUCCAGCCCAGCACUACCAAACCCACUACUAAACCAUGUCACUAGGUGUUACAUCCACGCAUGCUUGGGCAGGAAUCAGCAGUGCUGCUGACUUCCAAACAGCCAAGAUCCCAGUUUUUUCCCCCUGAAAAAAAUUAUUCUCCUUUCCCUGCAGGACAGGGCUAGUUUUCUCUUGGCAGCAGCAAUCCAUGUUGUUGUUUGUCACUUCCACCAUGGGGGAGAUUUGGUUUGACUUUCAGCUGAGUGUGGGACCUGUUCUAAUUUGGAUGGGGUGACCUUGGCUCUGCCAGAGAUGAUCUUCACACAAAAUCACAUCUUCAGCUGCUUGUGCCUGAAUGGGGAACAAUUAAUGUCCCCAUCAAUUUAUUUUCUGUUUAUAGACCCAGCUUCAUGCUCAUCUUUAAAAAGCAAAAAGCUCAUUAAUGGGGAAUUUUCUUGCCCAAAUCAUCACUGAUUCCUACUCAGAGGUGGCUGCCACCCACAGCCAAAGCCAUGGACUGAUGUCCAGUUUGAGCCUCUACCCCCUGGCUUUGGCUCCUCUGGCCUCCUCCUCAGACAGAAGGACUGAUUUUAGCCAAGGUGAGUUGUGACACUGUUUUGAACAAGUGAAGAGCUCAAUAAACAUCUAACUGAUAUCACAAGCUUGAGCAGAUGGAGCCAAAAUGCAUUUUAUUGAUAAGGGAUAUUUUUUUUGUUUCCAAAUAAGGGAGCCAAUCUGAGCAUUGCUGUAGAAAUUUCAGGUGGGUUGGAAGCAGGAUGAACAACAGGAUGUGUUCAGAGAUGAACAGAAGUGCUCAGGGACUCAGUUUGGAACCGACUUCAUUAAUGGGACUGACUUCAUUAAUACCUUUCCUAAUCAGCUGGGCUCACAUGGAGGAGCACAUGGAUCACUUCUGAAGCUGAGGCAGUGGAGAGCAUGGGAGAGAGGACCUGGAUGUCCCACAGGGAGGAUGGAGCGACCUCGGGGCCCGUCAGGAGAAGCAGUGUGAGGUGAUGUCAUGCAGCUCCUCGAGGGCUGCUCCAGGCAGGCAUCUUCAGGAAAGCUGCUCUGAAUUGACUUCCAAAUGAGAGUAAUUAAAGCAAACGAGGCCUUUGCAGGGAAGAGCUCCCGGCUGGAUGGCUCAAGCGAGUCACCUAUUUUCGCAGGGCUCCGUGUCAGUGAGGCUCCCACUUCUCUGCCAGGGCUGGGGACACUGCCCAGAGGCUCCAAACUUCCUCAGGACUGAGAAUGGUGCACUUUAAGAUCCCCUUGUGUGUGGAAUCACGCUAAAAGCUACGAGACCACGCAGUUCACUCUCCGUUUUCGGUGGCCCCAAGGGUCACAUUUCCCAUCUGCUCCUCCACAGACUCAUAUUUUCCUUCCCACUCUGCACGGGAGCUGGCUCUCAGUGUCUGUGUGUGGAAGCUGGGAUUCUGUUGGGAUCAUCCCUCCCAAGGUGCACCAGCUCUGACCAGACCAGCUGGGAUGAGAUCCAGAGCAUCUCUUUGGGUUUUUUACCACCCUCAUGAUCACGCAUUGUGUGGACCAGCACGGAUUUUCACCAGGAGCUUGUGACUACUCCUGUGUCCCAAAAAUGUGCCUGGAUACAUUUUCUCCUGGAGGGCUCAGGAAAGGGGAGCAGGUCACCAGCUAAGUUGCCAAAAUGUCCAUCUGUCCAUCCCUUUAGGGAUCCAUCCAUCCAUCCAUCCGUCCAUCUCCAGGACAGAUGGACAUGCAGCAUCAUGUGGAAAGCUGGAGCCACAGGGACGGACGCUUGCACAACGGAGCUUCCAGCCCUAGGGGUGUUCUCCUGUCUAGGCAGAAAAAUAAUUACAUGUUUUAAAAUACUUCAUUUGUAACGUUCUUCAAGGAGAGUUUUGUGUCUCCUUCCAUCUUUCAUUACAGCAUUAAUGUAAAAAAUUAGACUAAAAUUGAAGUUAAAUGGUAUUUUGAGGGCUUUUUAUUUCUAUGCUUAACCCACUGCUUUCAGUUUUUUCCUCCUUGUUUUGCUUUUUUGUUGUUAUUUUG